Long non-coding RNA from Cyprinus carpio (common carp), 468 nucleotides. RefSeq lists it as uncharacterized. The transcript has 4 exons. Lineage: Eukaryota; Metazoa; Chordata; Actinopteri; Cypriniformes; Cyprinidae. The record is from RefSeq and is a predicted model, not a curated record.
CAUUGCCAGGACCCUAGAUUUUUUUGUGACAGCGCCACCUACCGAAUCAGAUCACCGAGAACAGAUGGGCGACAUGGACAGCAAUCAAAGCGGUGUUCUCAACGGGGAGUGGUUACAUACAGUAAGCUAUCCUCUUCCCGGGUGCCUGUCUACCUCGACAGUGAGGAACAACAGGACAUCCUGUUUGCCUGUCUGAGAGGAGUACUACACGGGACACCAACACAACUGAGCUUCACAGAUGAAGUGCAGUUCAUCUGUGGUGGUCUUUUUCCAGAGGCCAUCAUAUAUGCCCUGGCUGUCCUACGGAAUUCGUCUGCCUUUCUGUUCCGGAUUAUCAUUACAGAGUUGAACCCUACAGUCAUCGUGUCCAUGCAGCAACAGAUGGAAAAGGGGGUCUUUUUUUGUGCUGUUGCAUUGUAUAAUUCCAUAAAUGACUAUAUAUAUAUAUGUAUAUAUGUAUGUAUGUAU